RNAcentral lists this unclassified non-coding RNA (424 nucleotides) under soil metagenome. RNAcentral's name for it is "partial contains 5.8S ribosomal RNA, internal transcribed spacer 2, and large subunit ribosomal RNA". The stretch from base 1 to 120 matches the Rfam family "5.8S ribosomal RNA", at positions 35 to 154 of the family's 154-position model. The record is from RNAcentral.
GAUGAAGAACGUAGCGAAAUGCGAUAAGUAGUGUGAAUUGCAGAAUUCCGUGAAUCAUCGAAUCUUUGAACGCACAUUGCGCCUUCUGGUAUUCCGGAAGGCAUGCCUGUUCGAGAGUCAUUAACAACCGUUUCGAUCCCUUCUUUCAGAAAUUACAAAGAGGAAAAGGGUUUGGUUAUGGUGGAGGAGGGAAAGGGAGCGUUUAGCCUGUAAAAAAAGAGGCUGUGUUCCGCCUCCCCCCCAAAAUUGUACAGGCGGUCGUGUGCGCCCACGCAUCGAGGUGUUGUAAAAGCUGCCACGGCACUUUUCACCUGUGCAGUGCGAGAUUGGCCAGCCGGUUUAAAAACCCCUCCAAACAAUCAAAGGUUGACCUCGGAUCAGGUAGGGAUACCCGCUGAACUUAAGCAUAUCAAUAAGCGGAGGA